AAAGUGGAGUGCAGCCAAGGAUGACUUGCCGGCAUGUUUAUGAAGAAGGAGUAAUUAGUAAUACUUUAAUUUCUUCAGUGCUGGCAAGUUGUUCUUGGCUAUAUUUUGCUUUCU
Molecule: non-coding RNA, 114 nt
Organism: Lupinus albus (white lupine)
Lineage: Eukaryota; Viridiplantae; Streptophyta; Magnoliopsida; Fabales; Fabaceae
Source: the annotation of a GenBank genome assembly